AAAUCAACCGAGAUUCCCCCAGUAGCGGCGAGCGAACGGGGAGCAGCCCAGAGCCUGAAUCAGUGUGUGUGUUAGUGGAAGCGUCUGGAAAGGCGUGCGAUACAGGGUGACAGCCCCGUACACAAAAAUGCACAUGCUGUGAGCUCGAUGAGUAGGGCGGGACACGUGGUAUCCUGUCUGAAUAUGGGGGGACCAUCCUCCAAGGCUAAAUACUCCUGACUGACCGAUAGUGAACCAGUACCGUGAGGGAAAGGCGAAAAGAACCCCGGCGAGGGGAGUGAAAAAGAACCUGAAACCGUGUACGUACAAGCAGUGGGAGCACGCUUAGGCGUGUGACUGCGUACCUUUUGUAUAAUGGGUCAGCGACUUAUAUUCUGUAGCAAGGUUAACCGAAUAGGGGAGCCGAAGGGAAACCGAGUCUUAACUGGGCGUUAAGUUGCAGGGUAUAGACCCGAAACCCGGUGAUCUAGCCAUGGGCAGGUUGAAGGUUGGGUAACACUAACUGGAGGACCGAACCGACUAAUGUUGAAAAAUUAGCGGAUGACUUGUGGCUGGGGGUGAAAGGCCAAUCAAACCGGGAGAUAGCUGGUUCUCCCCGAAAGCUAUUUAGGUAGCGCCUCGUGAAUUCAUCUCCGGGGGUAGAGCACUGUUUCGGCAAGGGGGUCAUCCCGACUUACCAACCCGAUGCAAACUGCGAAUACCGGAGAAUGUUAUCACGGGAGACACACGGCGGGUGCUAACGUCCGUCGUGAAGAGGGAAACAACCCAGACCGCCAGCUAAGGUCCCAAAGUCAUGGUUAAGUGGGAAACGAUGUGGGAAGGCCCAGACAGCCAGGAUGUUGGCUUAGAAGCAGCCAUCAUUUAAAGAAAGCGUAAUAGCUCACUGGUCGAGUCGGCCUGCGCGGAAGAUGUAACGGGGCUAAACCAUGCACCGAAGCUGCGGCAGCGACACUGUGUGUUGUUGGGUAGGGGAGCGUUCUGUAAGCCUGCGAAGGUGUGCUGUGAGGCAUGCUGGAGGUAUCAGAAGUGCGAAUGCUGACAUAAGUAACGAUAAAGCGGGUGAAAAGCCCGCUCGCCGGAAGACCAAGGGUUCCUGUCCAACGUUAAUCGGGGCAGGGUGAGUCGACCCCUAAGGCGAGGCCGAAAGGCGUAGUCGAUGGGAAACAGGUUAAUAUUCCUGUACUUGGUGUUACUGCGAAGGGGGGACGGAGAAGGCUAUGUUGGCCGGGCGACGGUUGUCCCGGUUUAAGCGUGUAGGCUGGUUUUCCAGGCAAAUCCGGAAAAUCAAGGCUGAGGCGUGAUGACGAGGCACUACGGUGCUGAAGCAACAAAUGCCCUGCUUCCAGGAAAAGCCUCUAAGCAUCAGGUAACAUCAAAUCGUACCCCAAACCGACACAGGUGGUCAGGUAGAGAAUACCAAGGCGCUUGAGAGAACUCGGGUGAAGGAACUAGGCAAAAUGGUGCCGUAACUUCGGGAGAAGGCACGCUGAUAUGUAGGUGAAGUCCCUCGCGGAUGGAGCUGAAAUCAGUCGAAGAUACCAGCUGGCUGCAACUGUUUAUUAAAAACACAGCACUGUGCAAACACGAAAGUGGACGUAUACGGUGUGACGCCUGCCCGGUGCCGGAAGGUUAAUUGAUGGGGUCAGCGCAAGCGAAGCUCUUGAUCGAAGCCCCGGUAAACGGCGGCCGUAACUAUAACGGUCCUAAGGUAGCGAAAUUCCUUGUCGGGUAAGUUCCGACCUGCACGAAUGGCGUAAUGAUGGCCAGGCUGUCUCCACCCGAGACUCAGUGAAAUUGAACUCGCUGUGAAGAUGCAGUGUACCCGCGGCAAGACGGAAAGACCCCGUGAACCUUUACUAUAGCUUGACACUGAACAUUGAGCCUUGAUGUGUAGGAUAGGUGGGAGGCUUUGAAGUGUGGACGCCAGUCUGCAUGGAGCCGACCUUGAAAUACCACCCUUUAAUGUUU
RNAcentral lists this ribosomal RNA (1968 nucleotides) under Escherichia coli. RNAcentral's name for it is "partial 23S ribosomal RNA". It matches the Rfam family "Bacterial large subunit ribosomal RNA", at positions 222 to 2215 of the family's 2925-position model. Lineage: Bacteria; Pseudomonadati; Pseudomonadota; Gammaproteobacteria; Enterobacterales; Enterobacteriaceae. The record is from RNAcentral.